Molecule: ribosomal RNA, 248 nt
Filed under: uncultured bacterium
Lineage: Bacteria
Description: partial 16S ribosomal RNA
Rfam family: Bacterial small subunit ribosomal RNA
Source: RNAcentral
ACGGAGGGUGCAAGCGUUACUCGGAAUCACUGGGCGUAAAGAGCGCGUAGGCGGGAAAGUAAGUCAGAUGUGAAAUCCUAUGGCUUAACCAUAGAACUGCAUUUGAAACUGCUUUUCUAGAGUAUGGGAGAGGUAGGUGGAAUUCUUGGUGUAGGGGUAAAAUCCGUAGAGAUCAAGAGGAAUACUCAUUGCGAAGGCGACCUGCUGGAACAUUACUGACGCUGAUGCGCGAAAGCGUGGGGAGCAAA